ACGAACGCUGGCGGCGUGCCUAAUACAUGCAAGUUGAGCGCUGAAGGUUGGUACUUGUACCAACUGGAUGAGCAGCGAACGGGUGAGUAACGCGUGGGGAAUCUGCCUUUAAGCAGGGGACAACAUUUGGAAACGAAUGCUAAUACCGCAUAAAAACUUUAAACACAAGUUUUAAGUUUGAAAGAUGCAAUUGCAUCACUCAAAGAUGAUCCCGCGUUGUAUUAGCUAGUUGGUGAGGUAAAGGCUCACCAAGGCGAUGAUACAUAGCCGACCUGAGAGGGUGAUCGGCCACAUUGGGACUGAGACACGGCCCAAACUCCUACGGGAGGCAGCAGUAGGGAAUCUUCGGCAAUAGACGAAAGUCUGACCGAGCAACGCCGCGUGAGUGAAGAAGGGUGUCGGAUCGUAAAACUCUGUUGGUGGAGAAGAACGUUGGUGAGAGUGGAAAGCUCAUCAAGUGACGGUAACUACCCAGAAAGGGACGGCUAACUACGUG
Molecule: ribosomal RNA, 496 nt
Filed under: uncultured bacterium
Lineage: Bacteria
Description: partial 16S ribosomal RNA
Rfam family: Bacterial small subunit ribosomal RNA
Source: RNAcentral